GGAAAACGUGGCCACAGGGUUGUGCUGUACCCACCUUUCCCCGGUGAGACGGCCCUCGGCCUGUGCCGCUGCUUCCACCCUCGCCACUCCAUGGCAGCUUUUGGUCUGUUUCCGGCUCUGCCCUCUGCCCUGAACUCUCAUCCGGCUUGUACCUGCCUGCUGGACCCCUCCACCUGGAGGCCAGCCCAUGUCUCAGGCCCAGCCCUACCCUCCUUUCCUCAAAUUCUAAGUGUUUUCUCUUUAGGUUUCCCUGGCUUUGUGAAUGGAUCAUGCGUCUGUAGGUUUCAUCUUUCCACCUGCCUCACCUCCACCAGAUCUCCCCAGUUCUGUCUCCAUCUUCCACCUGCAGCUGCUCUGUUGUCAUGGUCACUGCUGCAUCACUGAGUCUGGACCCUUGUUAUCAUUUUCAAACUGGCCUCCUUCCCUCGUUCCCCCCUUGUUAAAGCCACCUGUCCAUUGCCACCAGAUUAAGCUUUCUCCAGCCAGAUCACCUCUCUUUCAGAAACCUCCAUUGACAUGGAAACACCAUUGUCUGGCACACAUACUCACCUUCCCGUCUUGAUCCCCACGCAUCUUUCCAGCCUCCCCUCCCACUCCACUCCCCCCUCCCUCCUCCCCCUCCCCAUCCUCUUGCGUCCCCUCCCCUCUGAAUCCAGCCCAGUGGGGCUUCUCCUGCCUCCAUCACAUCACAGAAGUAUCUCCUGCUUCUGGUUUCAAUUAGAGCCUUCCCCGAUUACAUUUUCCUCUUGAAUUUUUUCCUGUCUACAUUUGAUCUGUCAUGUUUAAACCCCCUACUUCUAAGGGACCUUCUCUAAUCUCUUAUCCUCAUCCCCAAAUAGUGUUUUCUUCCUCUGGGUUCUUAUAAUGUUGGUAUCAAUCUCACAGCAUUUAGUGCUUCCUGCCUGGUGUGACAGUUACCUGUGUGCAUGUGCAAUUUCUAAUUUCCCACGCUAGACUGUGAGCUUCCUAAGGCAAGAAUCAUGCCUUGUUGGUUUCUGUAUUCCUCAUGGUGCCAAACACAGGUGCCUUGUACAUUGCAGGCGCUAAAUAAACAUUUUUAAAGCAAAGCGAUGUGGAUUUUUAAAAUAAAUAUUUAAGUGCUGGUAAGAUGAGCAUGUGUCCGGGGUGCCCAUGAAAUGUUCAUGGGGCUGUGUGGGGACAGUCGUCAUUCCUCCUCCUGCCACCCUUUUCUUGCAGCGAAUCACUGUGGAUGGUCCCAGCUGUGUCAUCCCAAAGUUCAGCAGGGAAAGCUGAGCUGGGCCUCUCCAGGUGAGUUUUCUAGAAGCAUUUCUCAAACUGUGGGUUACAUCAACUUGGGUGUCUUGAGCUGUAAGGAAGGAACUCCGGAGUCAGUUGGGCUACAGGGGAGCUUCUCUAAGUCCUGCGGGAGGCCAGACCCAGCCUGAGCUUACAGUUAGCUAGUGGAGGCAGCUGCUGGUGGCCCAGAUGCUCGACACAAGGCAUCCCCUCUCCUCCUAUGAAGGGUGUGCCAUAAUCCCUUUCAACAGGAACUGCUUCCCAGAAGCCUCUCAGCAGCCUCCCCUCCUGUCCCAUCCGCUAGAAGCGCCUCGCUUGUCCCAAGACCAGCAGGGACAGGGAACUGUCCGAGCCCGUGGCUGUGUGGAGGAAGGCGACCCCCAGCACAAGACUGGAUUCCUUUGGGAAGGGAAGAGGGAGUGUGUUGGGGUAAGGGGUAGAGCAGGGGAAUGGUCAUGGGGCAACAACCUCUGACAGCUGCAACAGGUGCAUGGCAUCUCACAGGGAGGCAGGGAGGUGCGAGCUCCUGAGUAAUGGAGCAAAAAAAUUCUGUAGAAUGGGGAGAGAAAAUGUGACUUUUUAAAUUUUUUUUUUGCAUUUAUAUUCCUAAUUCCUACUUAUAAUAAAGAGAGUAUACUGCCGCUGUAGGUCAUAAAAUGUAUCUUUUCCGUGGCCAACAAGGGGCAUCUUUUAUAAAUGCAUAAUAACCCAGUUUGUAUCAAAGGGUAUCGACUUAAGUGAAAUUUCAACAUGCUGUUACUUUUUCCUUUUAAUGUAAUUCUGUUUUCCAAAUAAGUGGGGGAGACAAAUGGA
RNA transcript from Nomascus leucogenys (northern white-cheeked gibbon), 2070 nucleotides. It is a transcript of the gene named pollen-specific leucine-rich repeat extensin-like protein 3, with no coding region annotated. NCBI's taxonomy places the organism in Eukaryota, Metazoa, Chordata, Mammalia, Primates, Hylobatidae. The transcript has a single exon. The record is from RefSeq and is a predicted model, not a curated record.